Molecule: ribosomal RNA, 467 nt
Filed under: uncultured Streptococcus sp.
Lineage: Bacteria; Bacillati; Bacillota; Bacilli; Lactobacillales; Streptococcaceae
Description: bacterial SSU rRNA
Rfam family: Bacterial small subunit ribosomal RNA
Source: RNAcentral
GACGGGGCCCGCACAAGCGGUGGAGCAUGCGGUUUAAUUCGAAGCAACGCGAAGAACCUUACCAGGUCUUGACAUCCCGAUGCUAUUUCUAGAGAUAGAAAGUUACUUCGGUACAUCGGUGACAGGUGGUGCAUGGUUGUCGUCAGCUCGUGUCGUGAGAUGUUGGGUUAAGUCCCGCAACGAGCGCAACCCCUAUUGUUAGUUGCCAUCAUUCAGUUGGGCACUCUAGCGAGACUGCCGGUAAUAAACCGGAGGAAGGUGGGAUGACGUCAAAUCAUCAUGCCCCUUAUGACCUGGGCUACACACGUGCUACAAUGGUUGGUACAACGAGUUGCGAGUCGGUGACGGCGAGCUAAUCUCUUAAAGCCAAUCUCAGUUCGGAUUGUAGGCUGCAACUCGCCUACAUGAAGUCGGAAUCGCUAGUAAUCGCGGAUCAGCACGCCGCGGUGAAUACGUUCCCGGGCCUU